This is a small nuclear RNA of Protopterus annectens (West African lungfish), 165 nucleotides long. RefSeq annotates it as U1 spliceosomal RNA. The transcript has a single exon. The record is from RefSeq and is a predicted model, not a curated record. Lineage: Eukaryota; Metazoa; Chordata; Ceratodontiformes; Protopteridae.
AUACUUACCUGGCAGUGGAAAUACCACCGUCAAGAAGGUGGUUUCCCCAGGGUGAGGCUCUUCCAUUGCACAUUUCAGUUCAGUUGACCUCCGUGGUUUCCCUAAUGUGGGAAACUCGACUGCAUAAUUUAUGGUAGUGGGGGACUGCGUUCGCAAUGACUAUAU